UUCUAUAAUUACACUACCCUGAAUAUUCCCAAUCUCUCUGAUCUCAAAAGCUAAGUAGGGUCAAGCCUGGUUAGUACUUGUAUAAGUGGCCAAUUGGAAAUGUUGAGU
Molecule: ribosomal RNA, 108 nt
Filed under: Octodon degus (degu)
Lineage: Eukaryota; Metazoa; Chordata; Mammalia; Rodentia; Octodontidae
Source: RNAcentral